UUCGUUAACUCCAACAUUUCAAUUCUCAUUUCUUUCACAACAAAAAAGCGCCAUCUCCACUACUCAGUACUACUCACACUCACUACUAUCAAAACGUUUCUAACGGAACAGAGAAGAAGCUCCUUUCAAAAACCCAGUUGUUCUCCGUGUCAUUUGCCUCCUUAAUUCCUCUUAUCUAUUCGUGCAAGCAAAAGACCGUCAACAAACUAUGGAUUUCUCAGAAAAACAAAUAAAGGCCUUAGACAUGAUGAUGAUUGUCAACAUCUUCUUUAUAAUAUUUACGGCUCUAUCUCUCUACAUCAGAGAGGUUGUAAGCUUGGUAGUGACUUUUACUCUCGAACAAACCCCAUUAAAGUGGUCACUCUUUUGUUUUGUAUUCACCACUUUCCUCUCCCUCGCCAUCAAGCUAGCCAUGAUCCGUUUGCAAAACAAGAUCAACCGCUACAUCAUACUGUUGGGAAUGAUUCUUUGUGCUUUUGUGCUUGUCCUUGGCUGCUCCCUCAUCAUCAUCUUUUACCAUUUCGCUGUCAACAUUUACAUUACUUUUGCACUUUCUCUUGUCCUUAUAACAUUCCUCCGUGACUACUAUUAUGUUUGUAGAACAAUCUGGAUUAGCUAGUUUGGAUGGUAGUAUUAGUAAUAGUCUGUUUCAGAAUCACAAUGAAGGUUGUAAAUAAUUUAAAUUUUUAGAUGUAAUAUCAAUUUCAUAUCAUAGAUGCUAACUUUUCAAUACUUCUUAAUAUCCCUUCCUCAGCUUAUAAGAUAUCAUUAAUUUAAUGUUGAUUGUAUUAUGAACAUAGGAACAAAUUGAUCAAACUCUUCUGUCUGUUACAUCUGUUGGAAUGUCUUGGAUGUGGUGGGUGAAGUUCAUUCAAAUCGGGUGGGGGGUGUUUUAUAAAAUUUGAUAUUAAGCGGAGAUAAUCGAAUUACGUUUUAGACCUGGAUCGAUGUGUAUGUGUUGAAUGGGCAUAUAUGAUCUAAUAGUGGCAGAGCUGUUUGGGAGGGAACAUGGGAAUUAUGCAGAUUUUUGCAGAUUAUAUUGUUUCUGUAAUAAUGUUGCAGGGUUGAGUAUAUCAGGUUUGGCUGAAUUUGUUCUCAUCAUUUAUGGUCUUGUGUUGAAUUGUAUAUGAUUUAAUUUAUGAAACCAUUAUCGAAGUUGAUUGUUACAUUACACUUGGUUGGAGAAUUGGGGAAUCAGUAGUUUCUUGAUGAGAGUUGGCAUCUCCUAUGGUUUGUUAAGUAGGUACAGCAUCUUGGCGAGUGAAAUAAGUUACAGUAAUUAGUAACUAUAAAUGCAUACACUGUGUGGAAGUAGUGGAGUCUGACAAGUGGUUUUAAAGCAUCAGAGGUGGUAUUGAUGCAAAUUGAUUACCAGAUUGAGGAAAUGUAGCCUGGUUGUGAGAUUUCAUUGGGCCCAUUUGAGUUUUAGUUAUCGUUGCUACUUUUCUUUGCGUUGGAUAGAUACUGGUGUGUGAUUUGUGCUCUUGGAUCAUUUUUGAUUUAUUUGUAAAUUAUGAUUAAUGUAACCUGUGGCAUACAUAUGAUCUGAGUAUGUGUUUGUAUGUGCGGUGAGGCAGUGUUUUACGCUACAAUUUGUAGCUUCGGUAAAAGCACGGCAAAAGGACACUGGGACGUGAUAAAUCAAAGGCAAACACAGAUCCAAACAUCAAACUAAUUUUAAGACUUUUGAGUUAUAAGUUAAUAGUACUAUUUAGUCAAGGUUGAUUGUGGGAGUCAAGAUAACUGUGGCCUGGACUUAUCAGAUGUCAAAAAACUGCAAAAAGAUUGGGUGCGCAACACCCUCAUUCAGUUUUGAUCUCAAGACGUCUAUAAUGUUUGGUAAUGAGACAAAAUGGUAGCCAAAAAUGUGAGAUCCUAGUUCACUAUGGUGGUUUCAAGAGGGAAAAUGAUCGUGAGGUUCUUUGGCUAAGAUGCUACUGUUUCAGAACUCAUUCUCAAGGCUUGUACUAUUUUAGAAGAUGUGGAAUUAUAUACUGCACCUGUGCACCAUUGUGAAUUUAUUGACUGCAGAUUUUGCUAUGUUUUAUUUACAGGGUUAUGGGCAGUAUAUAAAGGAACAAAAGUUGAAUGAGUCUCUUGAAGAGAUAAUGAGGAAACAAUUUGAAGAGCAUUCAGCAGUAGCAAGUUAGCUACUUGAACCAAGCUAUGCAACUAUGCAAUUGUACAGUCAAGAUAAGGACUAAUUUUGCAGACCAUGCAGUUACAGUCUUUGCUUGAUGCAGAAGGAUCUAAAAGGACUCACAUGAUUGAGCUUUUGGAAUCACUUGGAGGCUCGCCUUUUGGCCAAAACGUAAGUCAUUUUGCAUUCAGGGUGGUCCUGCCACUGUUGCCUAAUGAGCGUGAUUGGGAAUCAAUCCUUAUGAGCUCAACGUCUCAAGUUCGGCGCGUAUUGGAUAACUGUGGUGGUUAUCUGGGGGAAGUUGAGAAUCAUUUGACCGACGAAAUGAUUAGAGUCAACACAUAUGAAGCUCAACAAAUCCUCAACAUCCCGCUAUCCUGGAGAUUACCACCUGAUAAGUUAAUUUGGCAUUGGGAAAAGGAAGGAAAAUUCUGUAAGGUCAGCUUAUUACAUUCUUUCUAUCUGAAGAAAGAAACAGAAGCAGCCCUGAAGCAUCCUCAUCCAGAGAUCAAGAGUUGUGGAAGGCGAUCUGAAGGUAAAAGUGCCCAAUUGUGUCAAAUAAAACCCUACAGAGGUUAGCGAAGCAAGUUAUUCCAACUAGAGGUAGACUGGAAAAGAAAGAGCCGACUAUUGAUACAACAUGUCCCCUUUGCUAUAAUGAUGUAGAAUGCCAAGAACAUUUGUUUAUUCAGCGUUAACUUAGGGAAGCUUUGGGAAGGAAGAAACCAGCUUAUUUUUAAAAAUGAGAAAUUUUGCCCAAUUUCUAAUGCUGCUGCAGAUUUUAACUCUGCAAACUGUGCAAAUCCAAUCCAGACUGUGAGAGAGAGCCCUGCCGGUUGGGAACCUCCGGAGAAAUUCAAUACUAAAGUUUACAUUGAUGCGGGUUGCUUCUCAAAUGGCACUACAUGUUGGGGUUUGAUCAUGAGAAAUCACCUUGGAAUAGCCGAGUUUGCUGUUACAUACAAGAGAAGAUCAAAGUUUCUCCAACAUUGGCUGAGUCUAUGGUACUAAGAUGGUUUAGCAGGAUCCUAGCUUCAAAUCACUUGAAAGAAAUUACCAUUGAAUCAGAUUCGGAAGUCACUGUCAAAUGCUUAGAAGGAAGUGUUUGUGAGGCUCAAUUGGAGAACAAGAUUGUAAGGAUUUUCUUUCUAGUCUGCCAAAUGUAACUGUUAAGUCUCUUCGAAGAAGCCAAAAUGCGGCUGCUCAUAAGCUAGUCUCUAUUGCUAGAAAUCCAGGUGCCAAAUCAUGGGUGUACUGCGUCCCUGACCCUGUGGCAAAGAUUGUUUGUACCGAAUCUUCCGUUUAUCGUUGAAUGAAAAUUUAUUUCCGUUAUAGAAAAAAAGAAGAAAUGAUUAGACUGAACCACUACUUGAUUUAUCAUGCCAAAGGAAUAUUUUUAAUGUAAUCCGCAAUGAGAUGAUUGGAAACAACAUGCUUAGAUUAACCCAAAUGGAAUAGUAACUUUGAGUGUUCUAUGACGGGAUUUAGGGCAGAUGUAACGUUUUUUUUUCUGUUUAUUAUUACAACAUUGUCCUUACUACACCAAAGAUUAUC
RNA transcript from Medicago truncatula (barrel medic), 3694 nucleotides. RefSeq lists it as uncharacterized. The record is from RefSeq and is a predicted model, not a curated record. NCBI's taxonomy places the organism in Eukaryota, Viridiplantae, Streptophyta, Magnoliopsida, Fabales, Fabaceae. The transcript is spliced from 6 exons.